Molecule: long non-coding RNA, 373 nt
Filed under: Rattus norvegicus (Norway rat)
Lineage: Eukaryota; Metazoa; Chordata; Mammalia; Rodentia; Muridae
Description: long non-coding RNA NONRATT024503
Source: RNAcentral
GGUGAAUGGUGAACGUGGCUGCCACCAAGUUUCUAACCUGCGGAAGCCUGCAGAGAUAAGGAAAGAAUUUGGGAGAGGGUGGAGUCAGGCUGAACUCCUGCAGAGAGGGAGGGGCAGGCACUUCAGGCGUGGAGUGGGGCUGAGCAGGGAUCGAGGGCCACAAGGUAGGGGUGAGAGCCUGGGCUGUAGCGGGUGGAGGGGUACAGACCACAGGCCAUGGGAACUUCCUGAAACAGCUGAGGGAUUCAGACUUGGUCUCAUGCUGCAGGGGACAGCAACAGAGGUUGUGUGUGGUUUUUGUUUUUGUUUUUUGUUUUUUUUGAUUAAGGGAGUGUUUUCAUCCCAUCAGGCGUUAAGAUUAAGUUGGAGAAAA